GGUUAAGCGACUAAGCGUACACGGUGGAUGCCCUGGCAGUCAGAGGCGAUGAAGGACGUGCUAAUCUGCGAUAAGCGUCGGUAAGGUGAUAUGAACCGUUAUAACCGGCGAUUUCCGAAUGGGGAAACCCAGUGUGUUUCGACACACUAUCAUUAACUGAAUCCAUAGGUUAAUGAGGCGAACCGGGGGAACUGAAACAUCUAAGUACCCCGAGGAAAAGAAAUCAACCGAGAUUCCCCCCAGUAGCGGCGAGCGAACGGGGAGGAGCCCAGAGCCUGAAUCAGUGUGUGUGUUAGUGGAAGCGUCUGGAAAGGCGCGCGAUACAGGGUGACAGCCCCGUACACAAAAAUGCACAUGCUGUGAGCUCGAUGAGUAGGGCGGGACACGUGGUAUCCUGUCUGAAUAUGGGGGGACCAUCCUCCAAGGCUAAAUACUCCUGACUGACCGAUAGUGAACCAGUACCGUGAGGGAAAGGCGAAAAGAACCCCGGCGAGGGGAGUGAAAAAGAACCUGAAACCGUGUACGUACAAGCAGUGGGAGCACAGAGCAAUCUGUGUGACUGCGUACCUUUUGUAUAAUGGGUCAGCGACUUAUAUUCUGUAGCAAGGUUAACCGAAUAGGGGAGCCGAAGGGAAACCGAGUCUUAACUGGGCGUUAAGUUGCAGGGUAUAGACCCGAAACCCGGUGAUCUAGCCAUGGGCAGGUUGAAGGUUGGGUAACACUAACUGGAGGACCGAACCGACUAAUGUUGAAAAAUUAGCGGAUGACUUGUGGCUGGGGGUGAAAGGCCAAUCAAACCGGGAGAUAGCUGGUUCUCCCCGAAAGCUAUUUAGGUAGCGCCUCGUGAAUUCAUCUCCGGGGGUAGAGCACUGUUUCGGCAAGGGGGUCAUCCCGACUUACCAACCCGAUGCAAACUGCGAAUACCGGAGAAUGUUAUCACGGGAGACACACGGCGGGUGCUAACGUCCGUCGUGAAGAGGGAAACAACCCAGACCGCCAGCUAAGGUCCCAAAGUCAUGGUUAAGUGGGAAACGAUGUGGGAAGGCCCAGACAGCCAGGAUGUUGGCUUAGAAGCAGCCAUCAUUUAAAGAAAGCGUAAUAGCUCACUGGUCGAGUCGGCCUGCGCGGAAGAUGUAACGGGGCUAAACCAUGCACCGAAGCUGCGGCAGCGACACUGUGUGUUGUUGGGUAGGGGAGCGUUCUGUAAGCCUGUGAAGGUGUGCUGUGAGGCAUGCUGGAGGUAUCAGAAGUGCGAAUGCUGACAUAAGUAACGAUAAAGCGGGUGAAAAGCCCGCUCGCCGGAAGACCAAGGGUUCCUGUCCAACGUUAAUCGGGGCAGGGUGAGUCGACCCCUAAGGCGAGGCCGAAAGGCGUAGUCGAUGGGAAACAGGUUAAUAUUCCUGUACUUGGUGUUACUGCGAAGGGGGGGACGGAGAAGGCUAUGUUGGCCGGGCGACGGUUGUCCCGGUUUAAGCGUGUAGGCUGGUUUUCCGGUGCAAAUCCGGAAAAUCAAGGCUGAGGCGUGAUGACGAGGCACUACGGUGCUGAAGCAACAAAUGCCCUGCUUCCAGGAAAAGCCUCUAAGCAUCAGGUAACAUCAAAUCGUACCCCAAACCGACACAGGUGGUCAGGUAGAGAAUACCAAGGCGCUUGAGAGAACUCGGGUGAAGGAACUAGGCAAAAUGGUGCCGUAACUUCGGGAGAAGGCACGCUGAUAUGUAGGUGAAGUCCCUCGCGGAUGGAGCUGAAAUCAGUCGAAGAUACCAGCUGGCUGCAACUGUUUAUUAAAAACACAGCACUGUGCAAACACGAAAGUGGACGUAUACGGUGUGACGCCUGCCCGGUGCCGGAAGGUUAAUUGAUGGGGUCAGCGCAAGCGAAGCUCUUGAUCGAAGCCCCGGUAAACGGCGGCCGUAACUAUAACGGUCCUAAGGUAGCGAAAUUCCUUGUCGGGUAAGUUCCGACCUGCACGAAUGGCGUAAUGAUGGCCAGGCUGUCUCCACCCGAGACUCAGUGAAAUUGAACUCGCUGUGAAGAUGCAGUGUACCCGCGGCAAGACGGAAAGACCCCGUGAACCUUUACUAUAGCUUGACACUGAACAUUGAGCCUUGAUGUGUAGGAUAGGUGGGAGGCUUUGAAGUGUGGACGCCAGUCUGCAUGGAGCCGACCUUGAAAUACCACCCUUUAAUGUUUGAUGUUCUAACGUGGACCCGUGAUCCGGGUUGCGGACAGUGUCUGGUGGGUAGUUUGACUGGGGCGGUCUCCUCCUAAAGAGUAACGGAGGAGCACGAAGGUUGGCUAAUCCCCGGUCGGACAUCAGGAGGUUAGUGCAAUGGCAUAAGCCAGCUUGACUGCGAGCGUGACGGCGCGAGCAGGUGCGAAAAGCAGGUCAUAGUGAUCCGGUGGUUCUGAAUGGAAGGGCCAUCGCUCAACGGAUAAAAGGUACUCCGGGGAUAACAGGCUGAUACCGCCCAAGAGUUCAUAUCGACGGCGGUGUUUGGCACCUCGAUGUCGGCUCAUCACAUCCUGGGGCUGAAGUAGGUCCCAAGGGUAUGGCUGUUCGCCAUUUAAAGUGGUACGCGAGCUGGGUUUAGAACGUCGUGAGACAGUUCGGUCCCUAUCUGCCGUGGGCGCUGGAGAACUGAGGGGGGCUGCUCCUAGUACGAGAGGACCGGAGUGGACGCAUCACUGGUGUUCGGGUUGUCAUGCCAAUGGCACUGCCCGGUAGCUAAAUGCGGAAGAGAUAAGUGCUGAAAGCAUCUAAGCACGAAACUUGCCCCGAGAUGAGUUCUCCCUGACCCUUUAAGGGUCCUGAAGGAACGUUGAAGACGACGACGUUGAUAGGCCGGGUGUGUAAGCGCAGCGAUGCGUUGAGCUAACCGGUACUAAUGAACCGUGAGGCUUAACCUU
This 2910-nucleotide ribosomal RNA is filed under the name Escherichia coli. Its description in RNAcentral is "23S ribosomal RNA". It matches the Rfam family "Bacterial large subunit ribosomal RNA". The record is from RNAcentral. Lineage: Bacteria; Pseudomonadati; Pseudomonadota; Gammaproteobacteria; Enterobacterales; Enterobacteriaceae.